CAGGUCUCACAUCGAGGUCACGCUGAUGAAAAAGGAACUACAGUACUGUUAUGUCAGUAACAUAGAUCACAGUCGUACGUCUCCAGGCUUCUUAUCUUCCUUUGAACCUGACCUGGCUACUGUUUGGUGGAUUAUAGAGGAAAAGCUGUAAUGGGAAAGGAGGUUGGGUGAAGGGAUGAGAAAAAGGAAAGCAUCGUGGAGCACAUUAGCAGGCUUUCCCCAUGAAGAAGCAGCCCCAGGCUCCAGAAGCAGAUGAGCAGAUGAGAAGAUGAGGAGACAAGCAGAUGGAUUGCAAAAUGGUGCAAUAGAGAAAGAGAAAAGAAGAGGAAUGUCUGAACACUGAGAGAUUUCCAGCUGGGGUGGUCAGAGAAGCGUUCAGCCACAAGAUGGCCAAAAUCCAGGGAAGAUCUUCUUCCCACUCCAUUCCCUGCUUCUUGUUCCCUAUCCAUCCCACUGAGAGCCACCUCUACCACUCAAUAAAACCUCUCAUUCAU
This is a long non-coding RNA of Gorilla gorilla gorilla (western lowland gorilla), 494 nucleotides long. RefSeq lists it as uncharacterized. The transcript has 3 exons. The record is from RefSeq and is a predicted model, not a curated record. Lineage: Eukaryota; Metazoa; Chordata; Mammalia; Primates; Hominidae.